GCUGCCGGCAGGCCUAAUACAUGCAAGUCGAGCGGAAACGAUCCUAGCUUGCUAGGAGGCGUCGAGCGGCGGACGGGUGAGUAAUGCAUAGGAAUCUGCCCGGUAGUGGGGGAUAACUUGAGGAAACUCAAGCUAAUACCGCAUACGCCCUACGGGGGAAAGCAGGGGCUCUUCGGACCUUGCGCUAUCGGAUGAGCUUAUGUCGGAUUAGCUGGUUGGUGAGGUAACGGCUCACCAAGGCGACGAUCCGUAGCUGGUCUGAGAGGAUGAUCAGCCACAUCGGGACUGAGACACGGCCCGAACUCCUACGGGAGGCAGCAGUGGGGAAUAUUGGACAAUGGGGGCAACCCUGAUCCAGCCAUGCCGCGUGUGUGAAGAAGGCCCUCGGGUUGUAAAGCACUUUCAGCGAGGAAGAAUGCUUGUCGGUUAAUACCCGGCAAGGGAGACAUCACUCGCAGAAGAAGCACCGGCUAACUCCGUGCCAGCAGCCGCGGUAAUACGGAGGGUGCGAGCGUUAAUCGGAAUUACUGGGCGUAAAGCGUGCGUAGGCGGCUUGAUAAGCCGGUUGUGAAAGCCCCGGGCUCAACCUGGGAACGGCAUCCGGAACUGUUAGGCUAGAGUGCAGGAGAGGAAGGUAGAAUUCCCGGUGUAGCGGUGAAAUGCGUAGAGAUCGGGAGGAAUACCAGUGGCGAANGCGGCCUUNUGGACUGACACUGACGCUGAGGUACGAAAGCGUGGGUAGCAAACAGGAUAGAUUNCCCUGGUAGUCCACGCCGUAAACNAUGUCNAC
RNAcentral lists this ribosomal RNA (790 nucleotides) under Halomonas sp. E16.1. RNAcentral describes it as "bacterial SSU rRNA". It matches the Rfam family "Bacterial small subunit ribosomal RNA", at positions 35 to 816 of the family's 1533-position model. The record is from RNAcentral. Lineage: Bacteria; Pseudomonadati; Pseudomonadota; Gammaproteobacteria; Oceanospirillales; Halomonadaceae.